This 346-nucleotide unclassified non-coding RNA is filed under the name soil metagenome. RNAcentral's name for it is "partial contains 5.8S ribosomal RNA, internal transcribed spacer 2, and large subunit ribosomal RNA". The stretch from base 1 to 120 matches the Rfam family "5.8S ribosomal RNA", at positions 35 to 154 of the family's 154-position model. The record is from RNAcentral.
GAUGAAGAACGCAGCGAAAUGCGAUAAGUAAUGUGAAUUGCAGAAUUCAGUGAAUCAUCGAAUCUUUGAACGCACAUUGCGCCCGCCAGUAUUCUGGCGGGCAUGCCUGUCUGAGCGUCAUUUCAACCCUCAUGCCCCUAGGGCGUGGUGUUGGGGAUCGGCCAAAGCCCGCGAGGGACGGCCGGCCCCUAAAUCUAGUGGCGGACCCGUCGUGGCCUCCUCUGCGAAGUAGUGAUAUUCCGCAUCGGAGAGCGAUGAGCCCCUGCCGUUAAACCCCCAACUUUCCAAGGUUGACCUCAGAUCAGGUAGGAAUACCCGCUGAACUUAAGCAUAUCAAUAAGCAGGA